UUGGUACCUCGUCCCUUUAGGUGGGGAAUAACGUCGCGAAAGUCGGGCUAAUACCGCAUGUGAUCCUUCGGGAUUAAAGCCUUCGGGGCGCUAAAGGAGGGGCCUGCGUCUGAUUAGCUUGUUGGUAAGGUAAUGGCUUACCAAGGCGAUGAUCAGUAGCUGGUUUCGAGAGGAUGAUCAGCCACACUGGAACUGAGAUACGGUCCAGACUCCUACGGGAGGCAGCAGUAAGGAAUCUUCCGCAAUGGACGAAAGUCUGACGGAGCAACGCCGCGUGCAGGAUGAAGGCUUUCGGGUCGUAAACUGCUUUUGUAUGGGAAGAUUAUGACGGUACCAUACGAAUAAGGACCGGCUAACUACGUG
This 363-nucleotide ribosomal RNA is filed under the name uncultured bacterium. RNAcentral's name for it is "bacterial SSU rRNA". It matches the Rfam family "Bacterial small subunit ribosomal RNA", at positions 118 to 507 of the family's 1533-position model. The record is from RNAcentral.